RNAcentral lists this ribosomal RNA (440 nucleotides) under uncultured bacterium. RNAcentral's name for it is "partial 16S ribosomal RNA". It matches the Rfam family "Bacterial small subunit ribosomal RNA", at positions 338 to 795 of the family's 1533-position model. The record is from RNAcentral.
CCUACGUGAGGCAGCAGUGGGGAAUAUUGCACACUGGGGGAAACCCUGAUGCAGCGACGCCGCGUGAGUGAAGACGUAAUUCGUUAUGUAAAGCUCUAUCAGCAGGGAAGAAAAUGACGGUACCUGAGUAAGAAGCCCCGGCUAACUACGUGCCAGCAGCCGCGGUAAUACGUAGGGGGCAAGCGUUAACCGGAUUUACUGGGUGUAAAGGGAGCGUAGACGGCAGUGCAAGUCUGGAGUGAAAGGCGGGGGCUCAACCCCCGGACUGCUCUGGAAACUGUACGGCUGGAGUGCAGGAGAGGUAAGUGGAAUUCCUAGUGUAGCGGUGAAAUGCGUAGAUAUUAGGAGGAACACCAGUGGCGAAGGCGGCUUACUGGACUGUAACUGACGUUGAGGCUCGAAAGCGUGGGGAGCAAACAGGAUUAGAUACCCUUGUAGUC